This is a long non-coding RNA of Bos taurus (domestic cattle), 1883 nucleotides long. Lineage: Eukaryota; Metazoa; Chordata; Mammalia; Artiodactyla; Bovidae. The record is from Ensembl.
GCGGGGGCUGGGCUUUCAGCCUCAGUGCCGUCCAGGGGGAAUGCCCAGAUGGUUCCCCCGUAUCCCACUCCUCUCUCUCUCCCCUGGCACACGUGGCGGGGGGUGGUUACUUCUCCCCAUCCUCUCAAAGCUGGGCAGGGUGCUAGCUAGCAUUAGUUCUGGCCAGUGGGUUGUGGGCAGGAGUGCUCUGUGUCACUUUCAGGCUUGAGCACUUGUCCGCUGGACCCCCCAGCUGUGCUCCUCACCGCAAUCACAGAAAUCUGGUCUAGACGAGUUUCCUCAGAUGGGUUUCUGAAUAACCUCAGUGAAAGAAACCUCCAGCCAGCUAGCUUUGGGCAUGGAGAUGCAAGAAAUGAAUCGUUAUAGUAUUAAGCCCCUGAGGGUGUGGGGGUUGUUUGUUACAACAGCACCAUCCGGCCUAACCUACUGAUAAGAGGCUCCAUCAACCAAGUUGCUCAACGUUGGGAUCCAGGGACCUAUGGCCUCAGAAUCACAUGGAGCAGCUCUGUUAAAAAAUGCAGGUUCUCAGGCUCUGCCCCAGAUACCCGGAGUCAGAAAGCCCAGGGAUGAGGCCCCCAGAUUACAGUGACUUCAUCUCCAAGGGCAGCAAGUGUACAUCCCACGCCUGGGGAGUGUUAGGGAAGCCCUCUGCUCCUGCUGGGGGCUUCGCUGGCUCAGAUGGUAAAGAGUCUGCCCGCAAUGCAGGAGACUCAGGUUCAAUCCCUGGAUCAGGAAGAUCCCCGGAAGGAAGGCAUAGCAACCCACUCCAGUAUUCUGGCCUGGAGAAUCCCCAUGGACAGAGGAGCCUGGCUGGCUACAGUCCAUGGGGUUGCAGAGUCGGACACAACUGAGCAACUAACCCCUCUGUUCCCACCACCUCAUUUGCUUCCUCUGGGUCUGAAGCAGGUGUGCUCUCUGGUCGGGGCUGGGUUCUCCAGGUACUACCAGGCUCAAGGCCUGAGAGGUCCCUGCCCUGGGCUUCCUGCCGCCUCUCUCCUCCCACCUGGCAGCGAAGCAACUCCCCUGGGCCAGGCGCUGGGGGAAGGGCUCACAGAGGGAGAGCGAUAGAAACCCUCCGUGAUGGAUUGAAGGAGACGAGACCAUUCCCGGCUGGCGGAGGAGUUGCGGCUGCAGUGACAGGUGGCGAUGUUUGUGCUCUGAACCUGCAAUCUCAGCUAAUGGGAGAGAUUGAGGAGUUUGGAAUGAGACACGGCGUGGGCCACAGCCCCACGGGCCAAGAUGCUGCUGGCAUAGGCCGCGUGGCUUCGUGGGGUUCCUGAAGGAGGGAGUGGGUGCCACAUUCCUGGGCAGGGGAGAGAAUGUCUUUGGCUGCCUAUGAGUGUCAGGAGGACCAAGCUGGAGCAGCAGCAACCACUGAAAAUCCAGCUUCUUGAACCUCUUGCGACCACUGUAAAGAAUGUAGUAUGAGCCAGCGCUGAAGAUGUGAACUACCUCAGGAAAAGGAAGAGAAUCUACUGUCUUUGUGCCUCUUUGAAGGCCAUGAUAUCUGGAGCUUCAGCUGCUGCUGGAGGAGUAUUUUAUCACUGCUGCUGCUGCUAAGUCACUUCAGUCGUGUCUGACUCUGUGCGAUCCCACAGACAGCAGCCCACCAGGCUCCCCCAUCCCUGGGAUUCUCCAGGCAAGAACACUGGAGUGGGUUGCCAUUUCCUUCUCCAAUGCAUGAAAGUGAAAACGUGAAAGUGAAGUCACUCAGUCGUGUCCGACUCUUAGCGACCCCACAGACUGCAGCCUACCAGGCUCCUCCGCCCAUGGGAUUUUCCAGGCAAGAGUAUUGGAGUGGGUUGCCAUUGCCUUCUCUGAUUUUAUCACUGGUAUAGUUUAAAAUCACUAGAGCAUGUUAAUAAUAAAAAGCAGGCUGACUU